GACGAACGCUGGCGGCGUGCUUAACACAUGCCAGUCGAACGGAAAGGCCCUGCUUUUGUGGGGUGCUCGAGUGGCGAACGGGUGAGUAACACGUGAGUAACCUGCCCUUGACUUUGGGAUAACUUCAGGAAACUGGGGCUAAUAACGGAUAGGAGCUCCUGCUGCAUGGUGGGGGUUGGAAAGUUUCGGCGGGUGGGGAUGGACUCGCGGCUUAUCAGCUUGUUGGUGGGGUAGUGGCUUACCAAGGCUUUGACGGGUAGCCGGCCUGAGAGGGUGACCGGCCACAUUGGGACUGAGAUACGGCCCAGACUCCUACGGGAGGCAGCAGUGGGGAAUAUUGCACAAUGGGCGGAAGCCUGAUGCAGCAACGCCGCGUGCGGGAUGACGGCCUUCGGGUUGUAAACCGCUUUCGCCUGUGACGAAGCGUGAGUGACGGUAAUGGGUAAAGAAGCACCGGCUAACUACGUG
RNAcentral lists this ribosomal RNA (468 nucleotides) under uncultured bacterium. RNAcentral's name for it is "partial 16S ribosomal RNA". It matches the Rfam family "Bacterial small subunit ribosomal RNA", at positions 28 to 507 of the family's 1533-position model. The record is from RNAcentral.